Molecule: long non-coding RNA, 347 nt
Organism: Actinia tenebrosa (Australian red waratah sea anemone)
Lineage: Eukaryota; Metazoa; Cnidaria; Anthozoa; Actiniaria; Actiniidae
Source: RefSeq, a predicted model, not a curated record
AAAUAUUUUAGACUUCUGGACUCCUGGAAAGCCUGGAAAGACCUAUCUUGACAAAAAUCUGUUUUUGUGGAAGGAUUUGAGCUGUCUAGAUAAACAACUGCUCGUUGAAGAUUGAAUAGAUCGACAGCACAGAGAUAUCGCUUAUUCUCCCGCCAAAAGCAAGGUGUAUUGAAGGAAAGAAGAAAAAUACCAGUAAAAAUUGACACCAUGAGUAACCAGGCCCAUACUUCCAGACAUCGAAUGCUCAACCGUCGUAUGGAAUUACKGCUACGCCGGAGAUUUYGACCCCGACACCGCUAUCCCGGGAGGACUUACAGACUGAUCAGGAAGCUCGGCAAAAGCCUAAG